UUGCUUGGCUGACAUGUCUCAUGAAGCGUGUAUCAGAACAUGUAUUUUACUCUUAUUAUAUGCUUCUUUUUUUCAAUUGAUUUGUUCACUGUAAUUAAAUUAUGUUAUUUCACUAUGUUUGAUAAACAGGCAACUGUGUCUCCAACAAAGCCUCCAUAUUGGUCGGAUCCUGAAGCUGAUGAUCCCUUGUAUCUGAUGACAUUGACCAUCCCACAGCUUUUCUUGAAGCCUCUCCAGGUUAUGUGGGAUGCUACCAUGUU
Molecule: unclassified non-coding RNA, 260 nt
Filed under: uncultured bacterium
Lineage: Bacteria
Description: contains 16S-23S intergenic spacer region
Source: RNAcentral